This is a transfer RNA of Gracilibacillus boraciitolerans JCM 21714, 72 nucleotides long. It matches the Rfam family "tRNA". Rfam says of the family: Transfer RNA (tRNA) molecules are approximately 80 nucleotides in length. The record is from Rfam. NCBI's taxonomy places the organism in Bacteria, Bacillati, Bacillota, Bacilli, Caryophanales, Bacillaceae.
GGCCCGUUGGUCAAGCGGUUAAGACAUCGCCCUUUCACGGCGGUAUCACGGGUUCGAAUCCCGUACGGGUCA